ACUGUGGCUGGUGUAAAAAUUUACUUCCGUGGCUCUCGGCGUGUUUUACCAUAGAGAUACAUUGUGUAUGUGGGAGUGGUAUUUGCUCUUGAAUUCCAGAUUUAACUAAUUAUUUGUUUGAAUUUCAUUAUAUUUCUGUUGUUGGGACCUUAGUGUGGCCUUCAGUUAUUCAGAGGGUUUGGAUAAUAUCGCUUGGGAGAGAUAUAAAACCAAAUUAACAGCAGCAGGACUGGCAACUCGUCCAUAUCA
Long non-coding RNA from Thalassophryne amazonica, 249 nucleotides. RefSeq lists it as uncharacterized. The transcript is spliced from 3 exons. The record is from RefSeq and is a predicted model, not a curated record. Lineage: Eukaryota; Metazoa; Chordata; Actinopteri; Batrachoidiformes; Batrachoididae.